RNAcentral lists this ribosomal RNA (248 nucleotides) under uncultured bacterium. RNAcentral's name for it is "partial 16S ribosomal RNA". It matches the Rfam family "Bacterial small subunit ribosomal RNA", at positions 100 to 353 of the family's 1533-position model. The record is from RNAcentral.
GCGGGUGAGUAAUGUCUGGGAAACUGCCUGAUGGAGGGGGAUAACUACUGGAAACGGUAGCUAAUACCGCAUAACGUCUUCGGACCAAAGUGGGGGACCUUCGGGCCUCUUGCCAUCAGAUGUGCCCAGAUGGGAUUAGCUAGUAGGUGGGGUAACGGCUCACCUAGGCGACGAUACAUAGCCGACCUGAGAGGGUGAUCGGCCACACUGGGACUGAGACACGGCCCAGACUCCUACGGGAGGCAGCA